GUGAGCAGCCAUAUCACCCUGCAGCUCACAGCUGGCGGCCCACUGCAGCUCAGCAGGUGUGAGCCUGGUCAGUACCUGGAUGGGAGACCUCCUGGGAAAGCUGAGGCUGCUCUCC
This 115-nucleotide ribosomal RNA is filed under the name Lepisosteus oculatus (spotted gar). Lineage: Eukaryota; Metazoa; Chordata; Actinopteri; Semionotiformes; Lepisosteidae. The record is from RNAcentral.